CAUUCUUCGGGAUGUGGAAGAGUGGCGAACGGGUGAGGAACACGUAAGAAUCUGCCCCUCGGUCGGGGACAACUUUUGGAAACGAAAGCUAAUACCCGAUACGCUGUGGAGUGAAAGAAUUUCGCCGAGGGAUGAUCUUGCGUCUGAUUAGCUAGUUGGUAUGGUAACUGCAUACCAAGGCGACGAUCAGUAGCUGGUCUGAGAGGAUGGACAGCCACAUUGGAACUGAGACACGGUCCAAACUCCUACGGAAGGCAGCAGUGGGGAAUUUUCCGCAAUGGACGAAAGUCUGACGGAGCGACGCUGCGUGAAGGAUGACGGCCCGCGGGUUGUAAACUUCUUUUCUCGAAGAAGAAACAAAUGACGGUAUUCGAGGAAUAAGCAUCGGCUAACUCCGUGCCAGCAGCCGCGGUAAGACGGAGGAUGCAAGUGUUAUUCGGAAUGAUUGGGCGUAAAGAGUCUGUAGGCUGUAUAGAAAGUCUUUUGUUAAAUGCCUCGGCUCAACCGAGAUCCAGCAAAGGAAACUUCUAUACUUGAGGGAAGU
RNAcentral lists this ribosomal RNA (544 nucleotides) under uncultured Micromonas. RNAcentral's name for it is "bacterial SSU rRNA". It matches the Rfam family "Bacterial small subunit ribosomal RNA", at positions 74 to 652 of the family's 1533-position model. Lineage: Eukaryota; Viridiplantae; Chlorophyta; Mamiellophyceae; Mamiellales. The record is from RNAcentral.